GACUGUCCACUAAGGAAUACGUUGUGCAUCCUUGGAUCUUGGGGAGCCAAUGAAUCUCAGCCGCUGAGACAGAGAUCACAAGUAGGUGGAGAAAGGCAAG
This is a long non-coding RNA of Neogale vison (American mink), 100 nucleotides long. RefSeq lists it as uncharacterized. NCBI's taxonomy places the organism in Eukaryota, Metazoa, Chordata, Mammalia, Carnivora, Mustelidae. The transcript has 3 exons. The record is from RefSeq and is a predicted model, not a curated record.